CGGACGGGUGAGUAAUGUCUGGGAAACUGCCUGAUGGAGGGGGAUAACUACUGGAAACGGUAGCUAAUACCGCAUAACGUCGCAAGACCAAAGAGGGGGACCUUCGGGCCUCUUGCCAUCGGAUGUGCCCAGAUGGGAUUAGCUAGUAGGUGGGGUAACGGCUCACCUAGGCGACGAUCCCUAGCCGGUCUGAGAGGAUGACCAGCCACACUGGAACUGAGACACGGUCAG
This 231-nucleotide ribosomal RNA is filed under the name uncultured bacterium. RNAcentral describes it as "partial 16S ribosomal RNA". It matches the Rfam family "Bacterial small subunit ribosomal RNA", at positions 99 to 334 of the family's 1533-position model. The record is from RNAcentral.